AGCUACAAAAUAGUUAUAAGAGGUUUACAUCCAAAAAUUAACACAAAAAAAUUAAGUGAUGAAUUAGCAAAAAUUGACCAUCAAACAAGAGCAAUAAACAAUAUAACAAGAUAUGAUACAAAAAGCAACCAUUACCAUUAUUCUUAAUCCUUAGAGUACUAUGGGCGCAUAUAUGCGUCUGAAGCUAUCGGAAGCUAUCGGUGUGGACUAAGCACACAUAUAUGCGUUUUCUGUAAGUGCCCGGCAUGGGCUAAGGACGGAUAUAUGCGUUUGUCAAUUUUUCCGAACACCUACGCAGAAAUAAAUAUAAAUGCAUUCCUUAGUAACGGCAGUAAACAAAUGCCAAUAAUGCCUCGUUAUAACAGUUGUCUACCUGUUUCGCGGACAGUCGCAUCUAAUUAUCAAGAAGAAAAUGUGUUGUUUGUGUAAAAAAUAAGAGAAUGCAGAAAAUGCCAUGUCGGAUUAUGUAUUGAUAAUUGUUUUGAAAUUUUGUACAUACAACUAAAUUAUUAACUUGUGUUAUAUUUACCAAAUUUAGUUUUUUAGUUUAUUGUUUUCUAGUUUAUUACCAAAAUUCUAGUUUCUUGUAAAUUUCAAUGUUUAUAAUAAAUAAUUAAUACUAAAA
This 625-nucleotide unclassified non-coding RNA is filed under the name Bombus terrestris (buff-tailed bumblebee). RNAcentral's name for it is "misc RNA ENSBTSG00005029259.1". The record is from RNAcentral. Lineage: Eukaryota; Metazoa; Arthropoda; Insecta; Hymenoptera; Apidae.